RNAcentral lists this ribosomal RNA (496 nucleotides) under uncultured bacterium. RNAcentral's name for it is "partial 16S ribosomal RNA". It matches the Rfam family "Bacterial small subunit ribosomal RNA", at positions 28 to 506 of the family's 1533-position model. The record is from RNAcentral.
GAUGAACGCUGGCGGCGUGCCUAAUACAUGCAAGUCGAGCGAACGGACGAGAAGCUUGCUUCUCUGAUGUUAGCGGCGGACGGGUGAGUGACACGUGGAUAACCUACCUAUAAGACUGGGAUAACUUCGGGAAACCGGAGCUAAUACCGGAUAAUAUUUUGAACCGCAUGGUUCAAAAGUGAAAGACGGUCUUGCUGUCACUUAUAGAUGGAUCCGCGCUGCAUUAGCUAGUUGGUAAGGUAACGGCUUACCAAGGCAACGAUGCAUAGCCGACCUGAGAGGGUGACCGGCCACACUGGAACGAGGACACGGUCCCAACCCCUACGGGAGGCAGGAGUAGGAAAUCUUCCGCAAUGGGCGAAAGCCUGAAGGGGAAACGCCGGGGGAGGAAGGAAGGUUUUCGGUUCGUAAAACUCUUUUAUUAGGGAAAAAAAUAUGUUUAAGUAACUGGGCAAAUCUGGACGGUACCAAAGCAGAAAGCCACGGCAAACUACGU